RNAcentral lists this long non-coding RNA (4762 nucleotides) under Capsicum annuum. RNAcentral describes it as "long non-coding RNA (CANN_LNC016747)". The record is from RNAcentral. Lineage: Eukaryota; Viridiplantae; Streptophyta; Magnoliopsida; Solanales; Solanaceae.
CACAUCUCACCCCCACCAGGCCCAACACAACCUAACCCGGCCCACCAUUAUUUCCUAUCUCCCUCAAACAACAACCCCCAAACAAGAGAAAGAAACAGAUCCCCAAAUCCCUCAACAUUGCAACAACAACCAAGCUCCGACCCGUUCUAACACCUCGCCUGAAAACCCACCGACCCAUCUUCAACCCAAUUUCAACCAAAUCAACCUGUUUGUAGCCUUCUUCAUGCGUCUCACACGGGUUCACGCGAAGAAAACCCUCGAAUCUUCUAGAAACAAGCUAGGUGUCAUCCCCAACAGCUAACUCCGCGAAUUUCGGUAUAACUCGUACGAUCUCGUACAUAUUUGGCUGAUUUCCAUUGAUUUUGGGGGAAAAUUUGUUUUGCCCUUUUUUAAUUGGUCCACCCGUUGCAAUUUGGUUGAAAAAAAUCCAAUGCUAUGGGGGAAAUUUUGGGAUUCAAAUUCAAGAGAUCUUUCUUUCAAAUCCCAAAGAAAAAUAAAAAAAAAUACCCCAAUUCGGUUUUCUAUUUAAGAGGGGAAGGGGUCAUUGUUUCAGGGGUUGGAGAUUUGAGAGUUGCAAUUAGGGUUCGAAACUUUGGGGAUUUUUUUUCUCUCCUCUCUUUUCCCUUCGAAGUUGGAAAUUUUAGAGGCCUUUGGGUUUUCUGUGUGGGGGGUUCGAAAGUCUUGUUCAAAAAAUUUCUGAGACUCUUGGGUUCGAAAAUUAGGUUUUGGUCGAUUUUGGUUCAAAAAGAAAAAGAUUUUCUAGGGGGAAUUUAGGUUGAAAAAUUCUGGAAAGAAAUAAAGGAGAAGAAAACGUUUAGAGCAUCAUUUUACUUAGUAAGGUUAUCUCGCUCCUGCUUCUUUGAAAGGUGACCGUUUAAUCGAAAGCCUCGAGGGUUCGUUGAUUGAUUAUGGGUGUGAGGUGACGAAGACAUCAUUUUCUGGUGGCUACUCAUCUUGACCUUAGCUUGUCAUCCGGUUUGCUGCAUCGAAAUAGGUAAUAGCCCAUCCCGUUAGUUUUCGAUUGCUUCUACUUCAUCUCAACCUUCUAUAGUUCUGAAUCUAAAUGAUAUGGCGUACGAGGUUGUCUGUUACAGAGGUCUUUAAUACCCUAGAGUAUGUUUUGCUGAAAGUAUUGCUUGUCGUGUGAUUAUGUGUGAUGUCGAACUGCUGGCUUAGAGGUUAAAACUUGUUGCUUAAGUCUCAUACGCUCAUCUCGAUUUUGUAAUCUGUUAUUUGAUUUUAACAUUAUUAAUUAGCUUUCGAUUUGCUGUUGUGCAUUGGCAUUGAUCGUGGGUUUAAUCCACCAAUUGACUUUGGGAUUCCUGUUUUGAUUUUCACUUCAUUGGCUAGCUGACAGUGUCUUGUUAUAGUUGAUAUUACGUAAAAGUUUCAUGUUUGUAAUAGUUUAGGCUAAUGGUGUCCUGUUAUAGCCGAUCCUAUUUAAAGUUCAUGCUUUGAAUGUGAUUCAUAGUCUCUGGAUGCGGGCAAUCUUGUUUACGCGAUUUCUUGAUUAAGGUUUUAUGUUUCGGUUCCGUUUUUAUAAGUUUCGGGCUGCUGAAUAUUGUUUACCUGAUCUCAGUGUUCCCUUCGUUGUGGGAUUGCAAAAAUUAGAACCUUUCAUUUCUUUGUUGAGUUCGUGCUAAGUCGAUGUUCCAUUUGCUUGAUCCCCGAGGAAAAUGUAAUUGUUUUAUCGUAAAAAGGAAUGGAUGGGGUCUCUUUGAUGUUGAAUUCGAGUCAAGUCAGUUUUGUCUAAUGGAAUAUGGUCUUGACCUGGAAAUGAUAUUGUUUAUGAACAUCCUUUUGUGCUUCAUUCAAAGUUUAAAUGUUUGAAUUUGGGUUGCAAUUUCAUCUAGCGGGAAAAGAUGAUCAUGAUCAUCAAGGGAAAUGAUUUUUUGUUAUGUGUAUGGAUUCUCUGUGUUUUAUUCUCUUUGUUUUAUAUAGUGUUUUGGUGAUGGGUUUGAUGUUAAUUACUGUGGUGGAUUGCUAGUAUUAGCUAAGGUUCCUCAAUUCAUUAAUUGUUAUGAAGGGAAAAUAAGUAGAUCGCAGUGCAACUGAUGCAAGGGAAAACUUUUCUACCCCAUGCUUGAGCUAAUUUUCUUUAAUUACCUUUCUGUGACUCUAUAUUUUCUGAGUUUCCAACUAAUUGUAUAGGAUUUUGAGUGUAUCCAUAGGCAAGAUUCAGAGUUUUUUUUCUUAGAAUUCACUUUGUGUGCCAUAAUUUUGUCAAAUUGAUUUCUACGCUCUUGGGUAUUGAAUGGGUUAUUCACAAUUGAGUGCAAAUAAAGUCUGCAUCAAGACAUAAUUUGUUUAGCAUGUUGUUUGACUAUAUGAACGCACCCUCACUCUUUCUUAUUAGCCUUUUGGCUGAGUAUUGAGUUAGUUUGCUCUGUGAUUUCUUUCCAUCAGAUAGUCAUACGUUAUGUAUCUCAUUUCUUUAUUUUCUUGAUUUGAUGUUUGUGUUUUUCUUUAAUCCCCCCUUCUUUUUCUUUCUUAGUUGAUCACAUAUUAACAUUCAUUACUUUCUUGCUUUGCAUGAACCCGUCUUGGAGUCCAAAUGGACUCUCCUUCCCUUUGCAUCCCUCAUUGGGCCAAUGAGGCCCAUCUCAUUGAGUCGAGUCGAAAGAAAGUCCAAAAAUCCGUUGCAUGGCGUAUGGAUGUAAAAAGAGAACAAGAGAGGAAGAGAGGGACUUAGUCCCGUCUUUGAAGCUGCAUGAAGACUAGAAACCCUUCGGCUUCUCAUUCGUUUAUAUAUUCGUCCUUUAUUUAUUUAAUUAUCUAUUUAUUUAUUUAUUUAUUUAUUCAGUUUAUUACUUAUUCAUUUAUUUGGGGCCUCUAGGCCAAAGUUGUAUUUCAUACGGGUGAAGUGAGACUCGAGCCAAACGCUCGAAAAUUAGAUUAGGACAGGUGAAAAUGGGUCGAAAACCCAACUAGAUUAGGACAGGUUUUGUUGAUUUGGGCUCGAUGGCCUAAAUCGUUUACUUUCCCCUUCCUUUCCCUUUUUAUGUGUUUACUUGCUUAUUCAUUUUGUUUAGACUUAGUUUAGAAUCCCUAAUAAGUUGCUUAAAUCUAUUUUACACAAAUCGUUUUCUAAAACCAAUCACUUUUUGACAAAAUUAAUCUUUUUGAAGUUAAUCAAAAGAUGAUUUUCAAACAGUCUGGAUAACAACAAGUUAGCGGACGUUUUAGGUGUCUAACACCUUCCUAAAAUGCUAAUAGGAACCUCUUACUCAGAAUCUUCAAAAGUUGAACGAUUUUUAUGUUUUGGAUUGUUUAAAGUAUUUUAUAAAGGUUUCUUAAUUCCUUUUCAAAAUUAAGUGACGACUCUUUAAAAGUCAAAAUUUUCGCAAACCAAAAAUUUGUAUUGUAGAAUUACCAAUGUUGUUUGUAAGAGUAAUAUGGUUGUAAUGGUGAAAAUAAUGAAAAUGGAAAAGAAAGGGAGCGUGUGUCACAUCUCCGGCAGCCAAAUCUGGGUAUAGAGUUUUGUGGGUAAUAAUUUCACUUUAAAACAUCUAGGGGUAAUAGGAUCUCCGCAAAGUUCAGUAUGCUCAAUUGGAAAUUUGAUCAAUUUUCAAGUAUUUUUGUGAGUAUUCCCCCAAAGAAAAAUAGAGGGGAAAUGCACGGUGGGUAUAAUUUAAUGAAAUAUAACUUUUAUAGUUAAUGUCAUUAAAUAAUUUUGUUAUAACUUUUAUAGUUAAUGUCAUUAAAUAAUUUUGUUAAUGACCAUUGUAUAACCUUGUCCCACAUUAAUUUGGACAGGGAGAAAGUAUUUAUGUAAGUUGAGAAAAUUGAAGGAAAAGUGUCUUUUAAGUCUUGAAUGAAGGAUUAGUGACAUUGAUCAACAGUCAGGGUUAAACAUCAUUAGAAAACUUGAUUAAGUUAAUUGUGGACUUGAUUAAUAUUUUCAAAACUUUCUAAUUUUUUAAAAAAUACAAAUCAAUUCAACCCACACCCCUCUUCAAUCCAAAUCAACCACUCUCUCUUCUCUCUCGACAGCUUCUCUUAACUCUCUUCCAACUAACAGUUCUGCAAAAUUUCUUCCUUCAACCCCGACGACUUCUACCUCUAGUGGAAAAUAGUUGGGAUUCAAGUUUUCCUCUUUUAUUCUUUCAGCUCAUGGCGAUUUCUACCUCCAGUGACAAAUAGUUGGGCUUCGAGUUCCUCUCUUCAAUUCAAAUCAACUUGUCUCACAUCCCUCUCUCGACAGCUUCUCUCAACUUUCUCCCAAUCAAAUGUUAUGUAAAUUUAUCAUUUCAAUCCUCGGCGACUUCAACAUUCGACUACAAAUAGUUGGGUUUCGAGUUCCUUUUCGAUUUCAACCUUUAAUCGACGUGAUAGCCUUGCUCUUCGGCCACAACAGCUUUGAAUUCUUUAUUAUUCCUUUUCUUCUUUCACAGAUAAAAAUUUAUGGCCUUUUUAGUUUUGAAAAAAACGAGGAACUUGAGCCAACUUCUCUUAUAGUAUUGGUUAACAAUUUCAAUAUUUGUUGCAUUAAUUUGAAAUACGGUCUGAAUAAAAUCCUAAUUUCUGGUAUUUCUUCUCUUCUCUUUUUGAAGUGAAUUAUGAUAUUUCGUUGUUUGUUGCAUUUUUUUGAAGUUUGAUUUUUAUUAUUUGUGUUUAUAAAAACAAAACGACAAUUUGGGUUGAUUUGUUCUGUUCUUGUUCUUGGUAAAAAUGGUGAAAUUGUUGUUUUUUGUUAAAUAAAAUCAUGCUACUAUUUUUUGUUUCCUCCGACAGAUUACCCAUCUGGUGCAAUAUAUUAACC